AACAAGGAACUGCAGAUGCUGGUUUACACUACUGGAACUGGAGCAGCAGCUGGAUGACCUGCAGUCCAUCAGGGAUGACGAAAGCUUCCUGGACAGGACCUACAGUCAGGUCGGCAUUCCAAGAGUGCAGGAGGUGCGACGGGUAGAGACAGAAAGGAGAUGAAACGAGUGCAGGAGACCUCGGUAGAAGUACCUCUUGCAAACAGAUUCCAUCUACUACACCAAGCAUGAUGCAAAAUAAAAAAAGACAAAGACCUUCCCAAUUUGUCUCGCAACGUAAUCAACUCAUUUGUGAACCUCAUUACAAAUACUCUGUAAUUUUUACUCCAAUCCCCAAGGCUGGUGGAAAGAUAUUCAACAACUUUCAGUUGUAAAUUGAAUAAGUACGUGAAGAUCCACACCACCCCAAUUUCACUUCUAUCAGGAAGAAGCUCCAGGACUCUAAAAACUAUGACUACCAGGUUCAAGAUUCUUCCCGACAACCAUCAGGCUCUUGAACACCACACACUAACUAAACUAUGAACUAUGUUGCUCUACGUACUUCAGGCUUUUUGCAUUGGUAUUGAGGUUUUUAAUUUAUUGACAAUUUUUGUUCAUUAUGUUAUCUCUCACCACUGUGUUUACAAUCCUGUUAUGCUGCUACAAGAGAGAAUCUCGUUGUUCCCUUGUUGGUCCACAUAACAAUUAAACACUCUUGACUCGAAAAAAAAUGCAGGGUUACAGAAAAGAGGAGAAAAAUGAAUGGUAGUUAGAACUUGUUCGAAUGCAGAGAACUCAAAUAAAACCCAA
Long non-coding RNA from Amblyraja radiata (thorny skate), 789 nucleotides. RefSeq lists it as uncharacterized. The transcript is spliced from 2 exons. The record is from RefSeq and is a predicted model, not a curated record. Lineage: Eukaryota; Metazoa; Chordata; Chondrichthyes; Rajiformes; Rajidae.